UACGAAGGGUGCAAGCGUUACUCGGAAUUACUGGGCGUAAAGCGUGCGUAGGUGGUUCGUUAAGUCUGAUGUGAAAGCCCUGGGCUCAACCUGGGAAUUGCAUUGGAUACUGGCGGGCUGGAGUACGGUAGAGGGUGGCGGAAUUCCUGGUGUAGCAGUGAAAUGCGUAGAUAUCAGGAGGAACAUCCGUGGCGAAGGCGGCCACCUGGACCAGUACUGACACUGAGGCACGAAAGCGUGGGGAGCAAACAGGAUUAGAUACCCU
This 265-nucleotide ribosomal RNA is filed under the name uncultured prokaryote. RNAcentral describes it as "partial 16S ribosomal RNA". It matches the Rfam family "Bacterial small subunit ribosomal RNA", at positions 524 to 788 of the family's 1533-position model. The record is from RNAcentral.